Molecule: long non-coding RNA, 639 nt
Organism: Cimex lectularius (bed bug)
Lineage: Eukaryota; Metazoa; Arthropoda; Insecta; Hemiptera; Cimicidae
Exons: 3
Source: RefSeq, a predicted model, not a curated record
UUUUUAGUCGGCAAAGCGAACCAACGGGGUGGCUUCUUUGGGUAGACGUAUAAAUAAAGAUCGGGUGGCGCCGGGGGAGUCUGUUUGUUUCCUCCGGAGGGUAAAGGAAGGGGUAAGACAGUGAAUGGAGACUUGUCUUGCUGACCUCCGACAACGAACGCCGGCCGACCUACCCCACGACUUGCGCAAACCACCCCCAACCCCCGACGCCACUAUUUCAUAUCCACCGUCCUGUUAUUGCUCCCGUUCGGACAACAAAUACGUACAUAUUUCUCUCUUCUCUCGACACUUCGAACCAUGAUUUUCAUGAGAUGCAUGACAAACAAUGCAGUAAAAAAAGGUACAUCAACAAGCCGUCAUGUCACUACUUGUUUAACGUCUUUACACAAAGGAACAACCAGGACAUCAGGACUACACACGCUGUUAAAAAUACAACAGCUACAUCAGGUUGAUAAUGGGAGUGCGGGGAAAGGACAGGUGUCCAGUUCAUCGAUAUCCUGUCUUCCUGUUCUUAUUUUAGAGGAUUAGAAAACUUCAGGAGCAUGUGGUGGUCGAGAUGUGAACGCUGUAGAAAAAGCAGCAGUGUAUGUAUAUUGUAGCGUAUGUAAUUGUUAAGACGAAUAAAUAACACAAUAUAAC